UUGGACAGGAUGGUAAAG
This 18-nucleotide microRNA is filed under the name Chiloscyllium plagiosum (whitespotted bambooshark). RNAcentral's name for it is "microRNA PC-5p-580912_1". The record is from RNAcentral. Lineage: Eukaryota; Metazoa; Chordata; Chondrichthyes; Orectolobiformes; Hemiscylliidae.